GUCCUGUUUGGGCAGUACCUAUGCUAAACCUGGAACAAUGCAGAGAAGAUUAGCAUGGUCUGUAUGCAAGGAUGACAUGCAAUGCACAUUCAUGAACCAUUACACA
Molecule: small nuclear RNA, 106 nt
Organism: Dipodomys spectabilis (banner-tailed kangaroo rat)
Lineage: Eukaryota; Metazoa; Chordata; Mammalia; Rodentia; Heteromyidae
Source: RefSeq, a predicted model, not a curated record